CUUAGUGGUGAUAGCACAUUGAAUGCACUAGUUUUCGAUGGGUCACUGAAGGUAAGCAUCGUUGCGCGUGGUUGAUGUCCGGACGGGUGACCAUUAGGGCAACCGCGUGAUGCUGCUGGCU
RNAcentral lists this ribosomal RNA (121 nucleotides) under Diaphorina citri (Asian citrus psyllid). The record is from RNAcentral. Lineage: Eukaryota; Metazoa; Arthropoda; Insecta; Hemiptera; Psyllidae.